UACGUAGGGUGCGAGCGUUGUCCGGAAUUAUUGGGCGUAAAGAGCUCGUAGGCGGUGUGUCACGUCGGCCGUGAAAACCUGGGGCUUAACUCUGGGCGUGCGGUCGAUACGGGCAUCACUAGAGUUCGGCAGGGGAGACUGGAAUUCCUGGUGUAGCGGUGAAAUGCGCAGAUAUCAGGAGGAACACCGGUGGCGAAGGCGGGUCUCUGGGCCGAGACUGACGCUGAGGAGCGAAAGCAUGGGUAGCGAACAGG
This 254-nucleotide ribosomal RNA is filed under the name uncultured bacterium. RNAcentral's name for it is "partial 16S ribosomal RNA". It matches the Rfam family "Bacterial small subunit ribosomal RNA", at positions 524 to 776 of the family's 1533-position model. The record is from RNAcentral.